Molecule: long non-coding RNA, 463 nt
Organism: Ctenocephalides felis (cat flea)
Lineage: Eukaryota; Metazoa; Arthropoda; Insecta; Siphonaptera; Pulicidae
Exons: 3
Source: RefSeq, a predicted model, not a curated record
CGCGCGACCACAUGGAAAUUCGUGAGCGUCCUGAGCGCGGAAAACGCGACCUAUCGAGGAAAAUGCAACGCAGGAGGAAGGGGACGGUGGAAAAUCGCAGGAAUGGCGGAAAAACGAACGUGAUUGACAGCUAUCGAAUAAACGAGUGUCCAUUUAACACGUGAAUCCGGAAUGGCCGAGGUGCUUCCUGCGUUGCGCAUGGCCCGGACGGACGACGGGAGUUCGAAGCCGGAAACCAGGUGAAGAGGAAUCUGCAAGCCGCAAAGAAAGAGGGCUUCACACUGUCUCGGUGCAAAAAUAUAAAUUUUAUGUGGUAUUAAAGAUACCACGUUUGUUAAAAUGUAAUUCAUCAUUAAAAUUGCUUAACGCGAUACUCAAAAGUAAGUUUAAUUUGGAAUUAUUGUAAAUGCAAUAAUUUACUACAUCAUUUAAAUAUUUUAUGAUGGUGUAAUUGCUAUAAUAC